UUUCCGUAGGUGAACCUGCGGAAGGAUCAUUACCGAAUUGUCAAACGGGUUGUUGCUGGUCCUCAAACGGGGACAUGUGCACGCUCUGUUUACACAUCCACUCACACCUGUGCACCCUCCGUAGUUCUAUGGUCUGGGGGACCCCGUCUUCCUGCCGUGGUUCUGCGUCUUUACACACACGCUGUAACAAAGUCUUAUGGAAUGUAUGCCGCGUCUAACGAAAUACAAUACAACUUUCAGCAACGGAUCUCUUGGCUCUC
This 260-nucleotide unclassified non-coding RNA is filed under the name plant metagenome. RNAcentral describes it as "partial contains small subunit ribosomal RNA, internal transcribed spacer 1, and 5.8S ribosomal RNA". The record is from RNAcentral.